AUUGAACGCUGGCGGCAGGCCUAACACAUGCAAGUCGAACGAGAGGCGGACGGGUGAGUAAUGUCUGGGAAACUGCCAGAUGGAGGGGGAUAACUACUGGAAACGGUAGCUAAUACCGCAUACCAUCGGAUGUGCCCAGAUGGGAUUAGCUAGUAGGUGGGGUAACGGCUCACCAAGGCGACGAUCCCUAGCUGGUCUGAGAGGAUGACCAUCCACACCAGAACUGGGACACGUACCAGACUCCUGCGGGAGGCAGAAGUGGGGAGUAUUGCACAAUGGGAGCAAGCCUGAUGCAGGCAUGCCGCGUGUAUGAAGAAGGCCUUAGGGUUGUAAAGUACUUUCAGCGAGUAGGCGUGACGCGCAGAAGAAGCACCGGCUAACUCCGAGACAGAAGCCGCGGUAAUUC
Molecule: ribosomal RNA, 406 nt
Filed under: uncultured bacterium
Lineage: Bacteria
Description: partial 16S ribosomal RNA
Rfam family: Bacterial small subunit ribosomal RNA
Source: RNAcentral